CAUCGCUUAGCCACAUUCCACAAAUAGGUCUGAGUCGUUCUCGUGCAUCGUUAGUCGGAAGCCAAGAUAGCAGUCGUUCGUAGUAGUAUCUAUAAUAUAGUAGAGACAACAGCCCCACCCACCCCCGGAGAAGAGGAAGCGGUUUGAUGGGGUUGAGAACUCCCACGGCUAGAGAAAAUAGCCCCCGAUACCAACAAUGAUAAUAUACGGGUUCAUAGUUAGCCGCUGCUAUUAAGGAGCAAAUAAAUAAUAGCGCUAGCGCGCUCUACCGGCAGCUGCUUUACCCAGAUUUU
Molecule: long non-coding RNA, 293 nt
Filed under: Amborella trichopoda
Lineage: Eukaryota; Viridiplantae; Streptophyta; Magnoliopsida; Amborellales; Amborellaceae
Description: long non-coding RNA (ATRI_LNC002188)
Source: RNAcentral